AUUGUCAGUUUAAUAUAACUUAAAUCAUGUAAUAUUUAGUCUGGCAGGAUCUUGAGGCCUUUGUGAACUGUUGACUAAUGACCAACUAGUGUUGCGUUACACCACGGCAUUGCCGUAGUCCUAGCCCAUAAUAAAAAUGCUACAUUCUUAGAGAAAAAAAAAAAUUGUAAUUUGACAAAGAUGUAUGAUAGAAAUAUAAAGACAUUCGCAAAUGUUGGUUGAGUUGGUUGGAUGGUUUUUCAUAUGACAAAUCUGGGAUCGAUUCUUCUCUUCACCAGUAUUUUCGGUUAGAGUUCAUCGGACUGACCUUGCUUAAUGUUGUUUACAUCCUUUUUUCAAUCAAAAUUGAUCAUGUCAACUUGCCUAAUCCAUUUACAUCUCCUACGUGAUUUGCAAGUUAUUAUACAUGAGCAAAUUGGAUUUCCAUGAUGGCUUAAAGAAAAAGUGAUGUUGAAUUAGAUAGAAAUAAAUCACUUAGGUAUGUAAGAACAUGUCGACGUUGCGUGUUAGUAGCCUGUGAUUUCAUUAUUGAGAUGUCAAAUAUGCACUCAAAUGCAUGUCAAUAUCAAUUUAUUUGUGUGAGUUCAGUUGAACACAAAUCUAGAAUUUUAGUCGUAUGACUACAAUCUUUACGAUUUUUUGACAUUAAACUCAUUAUAUUUUAAAUUUAUGAAUUCACAUCUGUUGUUUAUUAUAACUUUAGCGGAUUUUUACACAUAAAAUUAAAGAAAAAAAUUACAAAACAUCAUAAAUUAUUUUUACCAAAUUACAUAAAAUUUCUAUCCUUUUUAUUAGUUACCUAAAUUUUUUUUUAAACAGUCGGAUACAUCCACAAACAUAUAAAUUUUCGGAUACAUAAUUUUAAUUAUUUAUCUCCCUUUAGUCUAGUUAAUGUAUUACAUAUCUCGACUAAAUAGUUUCAGAAAUGAUGUAUCUCAAUAAUCAAAAUUAUGUAUCUCAACUUUAAAAGUAUGCAUUUGGAUGCUAAUUAUGUAUUUGAGCAAAAAUGGAGGAAUUAACUAUGUUCAAAAUUAUGUAUCCAAAAAUGCUACUAAUGUAUCCAAAAAUUGCAAAAUAAGAAAUUAUUUGUAAUAUAGCAAAGAGUUGGGAUAGGGAGUAAUUAGGGAUAAACUUGUUGAGAUUUAUGUAAGUUUUACAAAAUUAAAUUACUCUGCAUAAAAAGUACAGAGUUCAUGUGAACCCCUUAAGCUAUAACCUCUGAUUUUGACUUGACGCGGAGUUUAAAAAAGUAAAUAAAAUUUUAAAAUCGUGUCGUCUUAAAUUAA
RNAcentral lists this long non-coding RNA (1286 nucleotides) under Capsicum annuum. RNAcentral's name for it is "long non-coding RNA (CANN_LNC017996)". Lineage: Eukaryota; Viridiplantae; Streptophyta; Magnoliopsida; Solanales; Solanaceae. The record is from RNAcentral.